This 484-nucleotide ribosomal RNA is filed under the name uncultured bacterium. RNAcentral describes it as "partial 16S ribosomal RNA". It matches the Rfam family "Bacterial small subunit ribosomal RNA", at positions 29 to 507 of the family's 1533-position model. The record is from RNAcentral.
AUUGAACGCUGGCGGCAUGCUUUACACAUGCAAGUCGAACGGCAGCGCGGGCUUCGGCCUGGCGGCGAGUGGCGAACGGGUGAGUAAUACAUCGGAACGUGCCCAGUAGUGGGGGAUAGCUCGGCGAAAGCCGGAUUAAUACCGCAUACGACCUGAGGGUGAAAGCGGGGGAUCUUCGGACCUCGCGCUAUUGGAGCGGCCGAUGGCAGAUUAGCUAGUUGGUGGGGUAAAGGCCUACCAAGGCGACGAUCUGUAGCUGGUCUGAGAGGACGACCAGCCACACUGGGACUGAGACACGGCCCAAACACCUACGGGAGGCAGCAGUGGGGAAUUUUGGACAAUGGGCGAAAGCCUGAUCCAGCAAUGCCGCGUGUGUGAUGAAGGCCUUCGGGUUGUAAAGCACUUUUGGCGGGAACGAAAAGGACUGUGCCAAUACCACGGUUCGAUGACGGUACCCGCAGAAUAAGCACCGGCUAACUACGUG